CUAGGAAUCUUGGGAAUGGGCGAAAGCCUGACCCAGCAACGCCGCGUGGGCGAUGAAGGCCUUCGGGUCGUAAAGCCCUUUUGCGGGGGACGAUAAUGACGGUACCCCGCGAAUAAGCCACGGCUAACUACGUGCCAGCAGCCGCGGUAAUACGUAGGUGGCAAGCGUUGUCCGGAUUUACUGGGCGUAAAGGGCGUGCAGGCGGUUUGUUAAGUCUAGGGUGAAAGCUCCCGGCUCAACUGGGAGAGGUCCUUGGAUACUGGCGAACUUGAGGGAUGCAGAGGAAAGUGGAAUUCCCGGUGUAGUGGUGAUAUGCGUAGAUAUCGGGAGGAACACCAGUGGCGAAGGCGGCUUUCUGGGCAUUUCCUGACGCUGGGACGCGAAAGCGUGGGGAGCGAACCGGAUUAGAUACCCGGGUAGUCCACGCCGUAAACGAUGGACACUAGGUGUAGGGGGUAUCGACCCCCUCUGUGCCGCAGCUAACGCAAUAAGUGUCCCGCCUGGGGAGUACGGCCGCAAGGCU
RNAcentral lists this ribosomal RNA (523 nucleotides) under uncultured bacterium. RNAcentral's name for it is "bacterial SSU rRNA". It matches the Rfam family "Bacterial small subunit ribosomal RNA", at positions 355 to 895 of the family's 1533-position model. The record is from RNAcentral.